UACGUAGGGACCAAGCGUUGUUCGGAUUUACUGGGCGUAAAGGGCGCGUAGGCGGCGUGACAAGUCACUUGUGAAAUCUCCGGGCUUAACUCGGAACGGCCAAGUGAUACUGUCGUGCUAGAGUGCAGAAGGGGCAAUCGGAAUUCUUGGUGUAGCGGUGAAAUGCGUAGAUAUCAAGAGGAACACCUGAGGUGAAGACGGGUUGCUGGGCUAACACUGACGCUGAAGCGCGAAAGCUAGGGGAGCAAACGGG
This 253-nucleotide ribosomal RNA is filed under the name uncultured bacterium. RNAcentral describes it as "partial 16S ribosomal RNA". It matches the Rfam family "Bacterial small subunit ribosomal RNA", at positions 524 to 776 of the family's 1533-position model. The record is from RNAcentral.